RNA transcript from Arachis duranensis, 2226 nucleotides. RefSeq lists it as uncharacterized. The record is from RefSeq and is a predicted model, not a curated record. The transcript has 3 exons. NCBI's taxonomy places the organism in Eukaryota, Viridiplantae, Streptophyta, Magnoliopsida, Fabales, Fabaceae.
GAGCAAAUAGUAUUUUUAUAGAUAUUACUGUUGGGUUUAAAUUGGGUUUCAAUUACUAUAUUAUUCCCAAUUUUAGGUGAAAUUACUAUAAUGCCCCUAACCCUAAUUGUGCCACACCUAUCCCCAAAAACCUUUCUCCUUCACGCUACACAGUUACCAGCCCUCCUUCAUCCUCCUUCUGCGCAGCACACACCCUGGGUAAUGGAAGGAAAGCUUGUCACCGCUGCCACCCACAUCCCCUCUCAUACCCCCACUCUCAGUUUUCAUUAGUCAGCCCACACACUGAACAAACACACACACGGUGGAGAAGAGAUCGGGCAGAGAGAGGAAGGGCGUCGCGCCUGUCACGAGUUCGCCGCCACCACCGCGCCGUUGCGCCGUCGCCAGAAAGUGCAGAAUCGAUUUGAGGGUUGGCUCGCGAGUGAGGGUGGUUGCGAGCUUGGAGCCGCCCGCCAUCGUCGGCACUGCAUCCACGCUGGUUGUCGCUGCUGUGAUGCACCCGAGAGGAGAGAAGUCACGCUGGAAAGCUGGCCGCCAGGGGCGCUGUUGCUACGAACCGGCCGCCGCCGUGCAUCCUCGUUGCCGCCACUGACCGGCCAAGUCGCCUCGGCAUGGUCACUGCCGUGAGUUUUGCUGCUUGUGAGGAAGGGACGCUGCCUUGCGACAUCACCGGUGUGCCUGGGCACUGUUGCUGUGAGUGUGCCAUCACCGGAGCUUAGUGGUUGAUGUCAUGGGAGCCGUGAAAGAAGGAGGAAGAAGCCGUGCCGUUGUUCUGGCCGUCGGAGCUUCUAUGGCCGUCAGAAGCUACCGCUGCCCAACCAGCUGCAACCGGGGUUGUCUCCUGUCAUGUAUGGCUGCCGAAGAAGUUGUUGUGGCCGCCGGAACCACCACCGGAGCUACUGGUUACUUCUGCCGUCGCCGAAAAGUUUGCCGGUGGCUGCCAGGCUGCAGCUGAGCCGGUUCGAAGUCCGCCGCGGUGUCGGUUCAGCCGUUCCUCCUUUGGUUCGUGUUGCUAUGGUUAUUGCGAAAGUGGCUGGAAGCUGAGGUUUUGGUUGCCGGUGAUUUCAAGUUGAGGCGGAAAGGACUCUGUGAGACGUUAGAUUAUGGAAUUUGUGCUUUGAGGUAGGGGCGCUUUCCAAAACUAUACUUUAUGUAUUGGAAUUAUUACAUAUGGAUACUGAUGUGAGAAAAUGUGUAUUUGGUGAUUGUAUCGGCCUUAUGUAUUAUUUGAUUGUCUCGAAAGCUUAUGAAUGUUUGUUUGGCUGAAUUGUUGUGCGGCUUUGUGAAAUGUAAUGUUUUGAAGUUAAUUCUUUAAAGAUUUGAAACAUGAGUUUAAUCUGUUGAGGAUUGGUUUGAAUUGAGUCAAUUAUUUUGAUUAUGCGAAAGAUAGAAUACUCUAGAAAUUCAGCCUGGGUUGCUUUAAUUGAUUUGGUUUUGAUAAAUGAUUUAUUUCUAAACUGAUUCUUUUAAACUUUGGAAAUGAGUUAAAUCGGUUGAUAUUGAGUUGAUUUUGAAAUGGUUUCCUUGAGAUAUGCCACUGAGGCGACUGUUGGAAUUAGCUUGCUUUUGAAUUGAUUUCUAGUUUUGAGCUGUUGAAAAGGAAUGAGAAACGGUUUAGUUGGGACCCGAACCGGGUGGCAAAAGUCCAAGUUUUAGGGGAGGUGCUGCCGAAAUUUCUAUAAAAUCCGAGUCUUUAUUGAAUGUUGUCUAGAAAAAUGAUGAGUUAAAGACUUCUACUAUUUUAUUUGAAUUAUCAAGAAAAGGAUGAUUCAUGCUUUUGAAAUGAAUUAUUAAAGAGGAAAUUGUGAUUUAGUCUUGCUUCUUAAGAAAGGCAUUGUAUCUCUUUCAGGAGGAAGUUACUUAGAUGAGACUUAUGUUUUAAAGUUGUUUUUAAAUGUGGCAAGGGCAAUGCCUUUGAAUUUGACUUGAGGGUUUCAAUUAGAGGAGUUUCAAUGAUUUUGAAAGAACCCGGAUGUCUAUUGACAAGUUUCAUUUUGAAAUAUUUUGAGAAAUGUUUUAAGUACUCCUUAAAUUCUGAAUUCUUGCAAGACUAAAACAAUUUUAAACAGUUGAAACGUUUUAGAAUUUAUCAUGGGGGUUGAAGUUGGUUUUGCCUAAGUAAAGGAAACGGCUUUGAAAGAAGUAAAUGAUUACGUGACUCGGUUUGGCUUAGAUCCUAUUUUAUUACUCAAAUCGGAAAGCCAAGGUUUUAAUGAUUUUAUAUGA